RNAcentral lists this ribosomal RNA (680 nucleotides) under uncultured bacterium. Its description in RNAcentral is "bacterial SSU rRNA". It matches the Rfam family "Bacterial small subunit ribosomal RNA", at positions 62 to 739 of the family's 1533-position model. The record is from RNAcentral.
UCGAACGGAACUUUUUUAAAGAUUUCUUCGGAAUGAAUUUGAUUAAGUUUAGUGGCGGACGGGUGAGUAACGCGUGAGUAACCUGCCUCUAAGAGGGGAAUAACAUUCUGAAAAGAAUGCUAAUACCGCAUAACAUAUAUUUAUCACAUGGUAGAUAUAUCAAAGAUUUAUCGCUUAGAGAUGGACUCGCGUCCGAUUAGUUAGUUGGUGAGGUAACGGCUCACCAAGACUGCGAUCGGUAGCCGGACUGAGAGGUUGAACGGCCACAUUGGGACUGAGACACGGCCCAGACUCCUACGGGAGGCAGCAGUGGGGGAUAUUGCGCAAUGGGGGAAACCCUGACGCAGCAACGCCGCGUGAAGGAUGAAGGUCUUCGGAUUGUAAACUUCUUUUAUUAAGGACGAAGAAAGUGACGGUACUUAAUGAAUAAGCUCCGGCUAACUACGUGCCAGCAGCCGCGGUAAUACGUAGGGAGCAAGCGUUGUCCGGAUUUACUGGGUGUAAAGGGUGCGUAGGCGGCUUUGCAAGUCAGAUGUGAAAUCUAUGGGCUCAACCCAUAGCCUGCAUUUGAAACUGCAGAGCUUGAGUGAAGUAGAGGCAGGCGGAAUUCCCCGUGUAGCGGUGAAAUGCGUAGAGAUGGGGAGGAACACCAGUGGCGAAGGCGGCCUGCUGGGCUUUAA